Molecule: ribosomal RNA, 519 nt
Filed under: uncultured bacterium
Lineage: Bacteria
Description: partial 16S ribosomal RNA
Rfam family: Bacterial small subunit ribosomal RNA
Source: RNAcentral
GACGAACGCUGGCGGCGUGCCUAAUACAUGCAAGUCGAACGCACUCUCGUUUAGAUUGCCGGAGUUUGCUCCUGAUUGAUAAACAUUUGAGUGAGUGGCGGACGGGUGAGUAACACGUGGGUAACCUGCCCUAAAGUGGGGAUAACAUUUGGAAACAGAUGCUAAUACCGCAUAAAACCUAACACCGCAUGGUGUAGGGUUGAAAGAUGGUUUCGUCUAUCACUUUAGGAUGGACCCGCGGUGCAUUAGUUAGUUGGUGAGGUAAAGGCUCACCAAGACCGUGAUGCAUAGCCGACCUGAGAGGGUAAUCGGCCACACUGGGACUGAGACACGGCCCAGACUCCUACGGGAGGCAGCAGUAGGGAAUCUUCCACAAUGGACGAAAGUCUGAUGGAGCAACGCCGCGUGAGUGAAGAAGGUUUUCGGAUCGUAAAACUCUGUUGUUGGAGAAGAAUGUAUGUGAGAGUAACUGAUCAGGUAGUGACGGUAUCAAAACAGAAAGCCACGGCUAACUACGUG